RNAcentral lists this ribosomal RNA (253 nucleotides) under uncultured bacterium. Its description in RNAcentral is "partial 16S ribosomal RNA". It matches the Rfam family "Bacterial small subunit ribosomal RNA", at positions 524 to 776 of the family's 1533-position model. The record is from RNAcentral.
UACGUAGGGUGCGAGCGUUGUCCGGAAUUAUUGGGCGUAAAGGGCUCGUAGGCGGUUUGUCGCGUCGGGAGUGAAAACCAGGUGCUUAACACCUGGCUUGCUUUCGAUACGGGCAGACUAGGGGUAUGCAGGGGAGAACGGAAUUCCUGGUGUAGCGGUGAAAUGCGCAGAUAUCAGGAGGAACACCGAUGGCGAAGGCAGGUCUCUGGGCAUUAACUGACGCUGAGGAGCGAAAGCAUGGGGAGCGAACAGG